Rhododendron vialii is the source of this 109-nucleotide small nucleolar RNA. RefSeq annotates it as small nucleolar RNA snoR100. The transcript has a single exon. Lineage: Eukaryota; Viridiplantae; Streptophyta; Magnoliopsida; Ericales; Ericaceae. The record is from RefSeq and is a predicted model, not a curated record.
CAAUAAAGGAAGCAUGGUAAUGUGCACAUAAAUUAAAUUGGGUCUUUACGCCUCCCCUCUUUGAUAUCAUUUGACUUUGAUUUGGGGGGUAUGGUUCCGCAGCAAAACA